This 378-nucleotide ribosomal RNA is filed under the name Triticum aestivum (bread wheat). RNAcentral's name for it is "partial small subunit ribosomal RNA". The record is from RNAcentral. Lineage: Eukaryota; Viridiplantae; Streptophyta; Magnoliopsida; Poales; Poaceae.
AUGGCUUUCUGGCAGGCGCGCGACUUCCUGUUCUGCGGCGUGUGCGGCACCCUCCUCGACUUCAACUCCCACCGCUACGCCUCCUGCCCCCUCUGCGGCUUCAAGCGCAAGGCCAAAGAUAUCGAAGGGAAAGAAACUCGGUACGCGGUCACCGCAGAGGAUAUUAGAAGAGAGCUAAAGAUAAAAGCGUUUGUGGUUCUUGAAUCGGCGCCAAAUUUGGACAUAGUUGUGCAAAGAUCCCUGACAGAGCGAGCCUGUCCGGAAUGCAACCAUCCUGAACUCGAAUUUUACACGAAGCAGCUUCGGUCAGCGGAUGAGGGGCAGACUAUCUUCUACGAGUGCCCGGAGUGCGGCCACGCAUUCAAUGAGAACACGUAA